This 3678-nucleotide long non-coding RNA is filed under the name Solanum tuberosum (potato). Its description in RNAcentral is "long non-coding RNA (STUB_LNC002683)". The record is from RNAcentral. Lineage: Eukaryota; Viridiplantae; Streptophyta; Magnoliopsida; Solanales; Solanaceae.
UUUUGGCUGGACAUCCUUGACCCUAAUCUCUCUCUGGAAUUAGGACUACAAAGUUCAUCGUGAUGAAAUACAUUCGAAGUUGGUACAGAUAAUGCGAGAAAGAUUGCUGGUACACCUUCGGAGUUUGCCACAGAUUGUUGAAAGUUUGAAUAGGCAGGAAGAUACUGACUCACAGCCAAGCCAGUUUGCUCGUUCAAUCACAAAGGUAGAAGUUUGUUUGUUAUAGGUCUCACUGCUUUUUUACCCCAGUUUCCCCAUUUUCCCAACUUUUUUUAAAUUAAGAAAUGUUGUCAAUUGUGAAAGAGAAAGUUAGGGUGGGCUUACUCAUUUUUUAUCAUUUCUCAAUGAUUUCGCAUUUGCUUUUUGCAAAUACAAGAUAUAUAAGUUUUCAUCAUUUUAGAGAUGUUUUUGAAAUCAAUAGAAAUUAAAGGUUUUGCGCGUAUCUCUGUGUAUUGCAGUAAUUUCGAUCCUUCUGGUCUCUUGGUGGAAAUUGAUGACAUGAUCUUUUAUAUUCCUGAGGCAUUUUAAUACACACUGCCUAAAAAAUUGGAUUGCUCACAAUAUGAUAAUCAUAGAUCUCUAUUCUCUUACUCCAUAGCUGACAUGGUCAUGUUUUUCCUUUCCUUUUUUAUGCCAAUUUGUAGGAGAUGGGUACACCAUCAAAGCUCUUUCAAUCUUUUUCAAAUUGACUCAAAAUUAUUUUUGCGCAUGAUGAUUUCAUUUCAAUAAUCAACUGCUACUCCUUUCAAAAGAUGUUUUCUUGCAAUAAAAAAAGGCUAUUAUCUUGCCAUUUCACCACAUUGAUUAUUGACUUCUGAUUGUUGUUGUAUCCCACUUGAAGGAUCUGGGGUGUAUGUUAGUGAGCACAUAUUUCUGGUCUGCGACUUGUUUUUGGUGGUUUUUAAGAUCACAAAUAUGCCAGAAAAAGUAUUAUAUUGAUGUUUUAUUUUUUCAGAUAUUCUUCUGAAUCAUUAUCAACCAAUAGAAGCUUUCAGCUUUUCUAUAGUUUGCCUGUAACUUGGACUAAACAUUUUCUAGUUUCUAUCUUGUAUAUGCAGUAUUGGUGUCGUUAAUUAGAGAAAAAAUUGCAGGUGUCAGGUUUGAAGUCUAUUACUUCUAAGCACUUGGCUUUGACAAGCCAAGUCAUCGGUUUCACAUACACUAUAAUUCCAGGUAGGCAAUGAUGACGAAGCUUUUCACUGGUGGUUCUUAUAUUGUUUCUGGCUUUUGUCUAGUUCCUUGUCUAAUAUUGUAUUCAUUGUUGAUCUUUGGUUUAAGAUAUAUCAAUGUGCUCAGACAUUGUUCCAAUGGAAAUAACAUGUCAUUACCAUUUGUGUAAAGUUUCUACCUGAAUGGUGGUUGGAAUUUAAAGGGGAAAGUAUGCUGUUUAUUUACAUUGUAUCUUUCUACCUCUGUCAGUGUAUAGUUGAAAUCAUUAACAGUGGGAAGUCCAUUGUCCAUCAUACUAAAAAUCAUGUAUUGACAUCUUUCUACUUGAGUGUCUGAAUAAGUAUUCUGAGGAAACCAACCAUUCAGGUUUUCGGUAGAGUUAAUCUAUUUUCAUCAGUGAAUGCAUCCUGCCUUGGGUGUUUUUGCAUUACUCAUGAUCACCUCUGUCAGUUGGUAAUUCUGAAAGCAGCAAGUUCCAUCAAAUCUUAAUAGUUGUAUAAUUCCUUAUUCUUAUUGAGAACUCCUGGUUUACCACAAUCAUGUCAAAAAUUGUUGAUUUCCGACUUGAACCUGUGUCUUUAAUUGCAGAAUCUUACCUAUCUCAUCAGCCAUUUUAUUUUCCCUUCAUCUCUCUGUCCCAUAUGCAUAGUGAUUACAAACCUGAAACUCUGUUGACCAUGCUCAUUUUCUCCAGUUAUUCAGCCUUUCUUCAUUAGACUAUUAAGUGCUACAUCUCUUUUUUCACCCUUUUUUCAUUAGGCUCUUUAGUGCUACAUAUAAUUUUCUCAUUCUUUCUAAUUAGAUUACUUACUUAGUGGGGCCAAUUCAUGAGGUCCCAGGUUCAAGUCCCAGCGAAGACAAAAAUACUAGGUGAUUGCUUUCCAUCUGUCCAAGCCAUGGUGGGUAGAGUUACCCAGUAUCUGUGUUGGUUGGAGGUAGCAGGUACCUAGUGGAAUUAGUCAAGGUACAAACAAUUGGCCAAAAUACCACCAUAUUAAAAAAAUUAGACUACUUAGUACUGCAUUGAGCAGAAAUCAGGCAUGGACCCCUAUCCAUAAAUUAAAAUCCAAAAGGCAUAUACAUAUGGAGGGGGACAUGGUGCCUUACCUCUUCAAAACUAAGUAAUGAUUGAGUGUACUCUACCCUUUACAAUUUUGUGCAGACCUAGUCUAGUUAUCUUGACUUAGUCUAUGAAAGAUUAGAAAAAUACUAGGCUUAGGAGGACUCCUCCUAAUUACAUGUGAUUACUUUAUAUGUUACUUUCUUUAGGCCAUAAAGGGUUUCUUUUCUCAAUAUUAGAGUUGUCUCUUCUUCCUGAUUCCCAAGAUAAAUUGGUAAGGGACACCCAAGAGACAAAAGUAUUUCAUUUUAUCUGAAAAGGAGAGGAGGAUCAAAUUCGUCUAACUCAAUUUGUUGACGGCAGAUGUUAGAAAUCAUCUUGAGUAAUGAUUCUUAUUACUAUUGUUUGAAAUAUGAUAUGGUUGUGUAAUAACGUAUGUUCUCCCUUAACUGCAUAGGAACUGUGUAGAAGUAUUUUUCAUGCUUAAAGAACUUUUAAAAAUUUCUUUGUUACCUAUUGUGUAACUUGUUUCUAUUUCGGACAUUUUGUGUGUUGAAAGAAAUCAAGAGAAUACUGUUUCUGAGAGUGCCUGAAACACACAAGGGAUUGCUAAUGCUGGAGGUUGAUCGAGUAGCACAGGUAAGGAAGAAAUUUUGCUUAUACUUAUUCCAGCAUAUUCCUUCCAUCCUAGUAGAGUAGCACUUGAAGAAUGCAUAUUUUCUGUUUCUUCACCAGCCUUCAAGAUUUUUAAUGAGGUUCCAUUUUCAUUUGUGAAAGUUCCUUGGGUAUUUUUCAUUUUUCUGUUCUUUCUGUUAACUUGAUGUAGAUUCUCUUUUUCUUCUUUUUGGGAGGGUGAGGUUGGGAUAAGGAGGGAGUGUAACUUCAAGGCUUUUAUCCUUUCUUCACUUGUUAAGUUUGGACCACCUUGAUGCCUGUUAGUAUAUUAUUUUUUUACUUAUAAAAGAGAGAUGGCACCCUUUUAAUUGUACUAUAUGUGAGUACGGUAUUGUGUGGAAGAAAACAAAGAACAAAGGGCUUCUUUUUUAAUGUUACCGCUAGUUAUGCAAGUAUGUACCAUAUCAAUCUAUACCUAUCCCACACUAUUCCUUGUAUCUAUUCACAUUUAUUUGUUUUUCUCUCUCAUUCUCAAUAGAAAAUCAACUGCUAUUAUGUUUUAGUGUGUCCCAGUCAAAUAUUUUUCUUUGCUGAGAUCAUUGUACUUUUAAAGCAUCAUAAUCCAAGAUUUUGGCUGGACAUCCUUGACCCUAAUCUCUCUCUGGAAUUAGGACUACAAAGUUCAUCGUGAUGAAAUACAUUCGAAGUUGGUACAGAUAAUGCGAGAAAGAUUGCUGGUACACCUUCGGAGUUUGCCACAGAUUGUUGAAAGUUUGAAUAGGCAGGAAGAUACUGACUCACAGCCAAGCCAGUUUGCUCGUUCAAUCACAAAG